GCUGUUCAGUGAUGAGGCCUGGAAUGAGCGCUGGGCACGGCGCCCGAACUCCCCUGUGGAACCAUUCCCUGUUGCCUUCCUUCUGAGAACGGC
Small nucleolar RNA from Ochotona princeps (American pika), 93 nucleotides. NCBI's taxonomy places the organism in Eukaryota, Metazoa, Chordata, Mammalia, Lagomorpha, Ochotonidae. The record is from Ensembl.